RNAcentral lists this ribosomal RNA (403 nucleotides) under uncultured Oscillospiraceae bacterium. Its description in RNAcentral is "bacterial SSU rRNA". It matches the Rfam family "Bacterial small subunit ribosomal RNA", at positions 356 to 774 of the family's 1533-position model. The record is from RNAcentral. Lineage: Bacteria; Bacillati; Bacillota; Clostridia; Eubacteriales; Oscillospiraceae.
GGGGGAUAUUGGUCAAUGGGGGGAACCCUGAACCAGCGAUGCCGCGUGAGGGAAGAAGGUCUUCGGAUUGUAAACCUUUGUCUUCAGGGACGAAACGAUGACGGUACCUGAGGAGGAAGCUCCGGCUAACUACGUGCCAGCAGCCGCGGUAAUACGUAGGGAGCGAGCGUUGUCCGGAAUUACUGGGUGUAAAGGGAGCGUAGGCGGGACGGCAAGUUGAAUGUGAAAUGCAUGGGCUUAACCCAUGAGCUGCGUUCAAAACUGUCGUUCUUGAGUGAAGUAGAGGCAGGCGGAAUUCCUAGUGUAGCGGUGAAAUGCGUAGAUAUUAGGAGGAACACCAGUGGCGAAGGCGGCCUGCUGGGCUUUAACUGACGCUGAGGCUCGAAAGCAUGGGGAGCAAACA